Molecule: transfer RNA, 72 nt
Filed under: Moesziomyces antarcticus
Lineage: Eukaryota; Fungi; Basidiomycota; Ustilaginomycetes; Ustilaginales; Ustilaginaceae
Description: tRNA-His
Rfam family: tRNA
About the family: Transfer RNA (tRNA) molecules are approximately 80 nucleotides in length.
Source: RNAcentral
GCAGCUUUCGUAUAGUGGUUAUUACGGCUCGUUGUGGCCGAGCAAACGGAUGUUCGAUUCCUCCAGGUUGCA